GUAGGGUGCAAGCGUUAAUCGGAAUUACUGGGCGUAAAGCGUGCGCAGGCGGUUUUGUAAGUCUGUCGUGAAAGCCCCGGGCUCAACCUGGGAAUUGCGAUGGAGACUGCAAGGCUUGAGUCUGGCAGAGGGGGGUAGAAUUCCACGUGUAGCAGUGAAAUGCGUAGAGAUGUGGAGGAACACCGAUGGCGAAGGCAGCCCCCUGGGUCAAGAUUGACGCUCAUGCACGAAAGCGUGGGGGGAGCAAACAGGAUUAGAUACCCUGGUAGUCCACGCCCCUAAACGAUGUCUACUAGUUGUCGGGUUUUAAUUAACCUUGGUAACGCAGCUAACGCGUGAAGUAGACCGCCUGGGGAUACGGUCGCAAGAUUA
This 372-nucleotide ribosomal RNA is filed under the name uncultured organism. RNAcentral's name for it is "partial 16S ribosomal RNA". It matches the Rfam family "Bacterial small subunit ribosomal RNA", at positions 527 to 896 of the family's 1533-position model. The record is from RNAcentral.